Molecule: long non-coding RNA, 230 nt
Filed under: Lathyrus oleraceus (garden pea)
Lineage: Eukaryota; Viridiplantae; Streptophyta; Magnoliopsida; Fabales; Fabaceae
Description: Pisum sativum (pea) long non-coding RNA (PSAT_LNC006192)
Source: RNAcentral
UGCCCUUCGGUUUGAAGAACGCCGGAGCCACGUGCCCAAAAUUUGCCCUCCUUAUUCACGCAUUCAUUUUUAGGUCAUUUAACAUUAGAUACAUUGCAUUUCAUCAUGUCAAUCGGGAUUAGCUCCAAGAAACUUUAUUUUAAAAAAAAAAAACGAAAAAGAACGAAAAAAAAAAUUUAAUUAAUUAAAUAAAUAAAAAGAAAAAAAUCUCAGACUUGGACCUCUCUCAA